This 469-nucleotide ribosomal RNA is filed under the name uncultured Acidobacteriota bacterium. RNAcentral's name for it is "bacterial SSU rRNA". It matches the Rfam family "Bacterial small subunit ribosomal RNA", at positions 12 to 460 of the family's 1533-position model. Lineage: Bacteria; Pseudomonadati; Acidobacteriota. The record is from RNAcentral.
UUUGAUCCUGGCUCAGAACGAACGCUGGCGGCGUGGAUAAGACAUGCAAGUCGAACGAUUAUCAUCGGGUAGCAAUAUUCGGUGGUGAGAGUGGCGCAAGGGUGCGUAACACGUGGGUAAUUUGCCGUGAAGUCUGGGAUAACUUGCUGAAAGGCGAGCUAAUACCGGAUGUGACUUUUGGAAGGCAUCUUCUGGAAUUCAAAGUCGGGGACCGUAAGGCCUGACGCUUCUCGAUAAGCCCGCGGCCUAUCAGCUAGCUGGUGAGGUAACGGCUCACCAAGGCUAAGACGGGUAGCUGGUCUGAGAGGACGACCAGCCACACUGGAACUGAGACACGGUCCAGACACCUACGGGUGGCAGCAGUCGAGAAUUUUUCUCAAUGGGCGAAAGCCUGAAGGAGCGACGCCGCGUGGGGGAUGAAUGGCUUCGGCCCGUAAACCCCUGUCAUUUGCGAUCAAACCUUACGACC